GUGCCAGCAGCCGCGGUAAUACAGAGACCCCGAGCAUUAUCCGGAAUUAUUGGGCGUAAAGGGCGAGUAGCCGGUCGCGUUAGUCCGAUGUAAAACCAUGGGGCCCAACUUCAUGUCUGCAUUGGAAACGGCGCGACUCGAGCGGAUGAGAGGAGAGCGGAACGUAUGGUGUAGGGGUGAAAUCCACUGAUAUCAUACGGAACACCAAAAGCGAAGGCAGCUCUCUAGCGUCUUGCUGACGGUCAAUCGCUAAAGCGUGGGGAUCAAAAAGGAUUAGAAACCCCAGUAGUCC
Molecule: ribosomal RNA, 292 nt
Filed under: uncultured bacterium
Lineage: Bacteria
Description: partial 16S ribosomal RNA
Rfam family: Bacterial small subunit ribosomal RNA
Source: RNAcentral